AUGGCGGCGGUGAGCGAGAGAGCGGAGAGACAAACAAACGCAGGAUUUUGCAGCAGGGGAUACUGUUUGAUAUCAGUUGGUUUUCCUGCCACUCUAAAUGCCCCACAUCAAGGGUUUUCUACCCACCUCCACAUCUGGUAUUAUAAAUUAGUCAGCCACGCGGCCCUUGGAACCGGCUGGGAUUGGCCAGUUACUCUGUCAGGAGCUGGCCGAAAGAAAAUUCUUAUAGAGAGUCAUAAGAUCCUUGUUCAAGAAAAGUCUGACCUAUACCUUCUAGGAAGGAGUACCACACAGAUAUGGGAAGAAGAAUCUGGACAAACAUUCUUGCAUUCUCUUUCCACCAUCUACUACCAUCAUAUUUCUAAAAGGCCAUACAGUCUUCAAACCAAAAGCAUAAAAAAUCAAAACCAAAACACAAAAAAUUUAUCCCCUGGGUCUUGGGUCUUCAUUUCUGAAUGUCCCUUCAUCAUGUAAAACUGCAAAUAGGUAAAUUUGUUGUUUGUCUAUUAUUAAUUUAUCUUUAUUUUGAUGCUCUCAGCUAUGAUCCUUAUAAUGGAUGAGGAAAGAUACAACACUUCACUGGCCCUACAUCAAUGGAAAUAAUUGUAUUUCUAAUUACAUUAGAGAUAAUUAGCAAAUAUACUUCUAUGGCCUGCUUGAGUAGAUUUUUAAAAGUGACACCAGAUAUAGUAUAAUAAUUUCAAAAUUCUUUUAUGUGUAUUUUAAGAUUUAUAUAAUAAGUAAAUAUACUAAUGGAAAUGGGAAUAACUCUUACUAUAUCGUAGAAACCACUCACUAGUAAAAUUGCUUUGGGAACAGUGUAUCACAUUGUUUCAAAUGUUCUGUCCAAGACCAUUAUUAUUUAUAAAAAGAGUUAAAAAGUACAUUUCACCAAGAAAUUUGAUUGAUACCAUUACAUGAUCAAGCCAUCAAACUUAGGACUGUAUCCCUAGUGAUAGUAUAAAAUGUCUCAAAAUACAUUUAGAAGAGUAUAAC
RNAcentral lists this long non-coding RNA (996 nucleotides) under Chinchilla lanigera (long-tailed chinchilla). RNAcentral's name for it is "lncRNA (ENSCLAG00000024433.1)". Lineage: Eukaryota; Metazoa; Chordata; Mammalia; Rodentia; Chinchillidae. The record is from RNAcentral.